UACGUAGGCAGCGAGCGUUGUUCGGAGUUACUGGGCGUAAAGGGUGCGCAGGCGGUGGAGCAAGUCUGUUGUGAAAUCUCCCGGCUUAACCGGGAGGGUGCGGCGGAAACUGUUCUGCUGGAGUGAGGGAGAGGCAAGCGGAAUUCCGGGUGUAGCGGUGGAAUGCGUAGAGAUCCGGAAGAACACCGGUGGCGAAGGCGGCCUGCUGGGCAGUUGCUGACACUGAGGCGCGACAGCGUGGGGAGCAAACAGG
RNAcentral lists this ribosomal RNA (253 nucleotides) under uncultured bacterium. RNAcentral's name for it is "partial 16S ribosomal RNA". It matches the Rfam family "Bacterial small subunit ribosomal RNA", at positions 524 to 776 of the family's 1533-position model. The record is from RNAcentral.